RNAcentral lists this transfer RNA (86 nucleotides) under bacterium. RNAcentral describes it as "tRNA-Ser". It matches the Rfam family "tRNA". Rfam says of the family: Transfer RNA (tRNA) molecules are approximately 80 nucleotides in length. Their secondary structure includes four short double-helical elements and three loops (D, anti-codon, and T loops). The record is from RNAcentral.
GAGGGGUGCCGGAGUGGACUAACGGGACGGCCUGGAGAGCCGUGGCCUCUUUUCCGAGGCCUCGUGGGUUCGAAUCCCACCCCCUC